This 330-nucleotide ribosomal RNA is filed under the name uncultured euryarchaeote. Its description in RNAcentral is "bacterial SSU rRNA". It matches the Rfam family "Archaeal small subunit ribosomal RNA", at positions 1023 to 1352 of the family's 1478-position model. The record is from RNAcentral. Lineage: Archaea; Methanobacteriati; Methanobacteriota.
ACCGUCGACAGUCAGGUAACGAGCGAGACCUGUAUCCAUAAUUGCUAAUGGGUGCUUUAGCAUGACCGAGCACUUUAUGGGGACUGCUGUGGAAACACAGAGGAAGGUGCAGGCUACGAUAGGUCUGUAUGGUCCGAAUCUGCUGGGCUACACGCGCGCAACAAUGGCGGAGACAAUGGGAUGCUACACCGAAAGGUGGCGCUAAACCUCCAAACUCCGUCCUAGUUUAGAUUGAGGGUUGUAACUCACCCUCAUGACAACGGAAUCCGUAGUAAUCGGGCUUUAUCACGGCCCGGUGAAUACGUCCCUGCUCCUUGCACGAAUUCGCCG